CCUACGGGUGGCAGCAGUGGGGAAUAUUGGGCAAUGGACGCAAGUCUGACCCAGCAACGCCGCGUGAAGGAAGAAGGCUUUCGGGUUGUAAACUUUUUUUAAGGGGGAAGCGCAGAAGACGGUACCCCUUCAAUAAGCCACGGCUAACUACGUGCCAGCAGCCGCGGUAAUACGUAGGAGGCAAGCGUUGUCCGGAUUUACUGGGGGUAAAGGGCGUGCAGGCGGUAAGACAAGUCCGAUGUGAAAUCCACGGGCCCAACCCGUGAACUGCAUUUGAAACUGUUUCCCUUGAGUGUCGGAGAAGUAAUCGGAAUGCGUUGUGUAGCGGUGAAAUGCGUAGAUAUAAGGAAGAACACCGGUGGCGAAGGCAGAAUACUGG
RNAcentral lists this ribosomal RNA (379 nucleotides) under uncultured bacterium. Its description in RNAcentral is "partial 16S ribosomal RNA". It matches the Rfam family "Bacterial small subunit ribosomal RNA", at positions 338 to 732 of the family's 1533-position model. The record is from RNAcentral.